Molecule: long non-coding RNA, 1587 nt
Organism: Populus trichocarpa (black cottonwood)
Lineage: Eukaryota; Viridiplantae; Streptophyta; Magnoliopsida; Malpighiales; Salicaceae
Exons: 2
Source: RefSeq, a predicted model, not a curated record
UAAUUCUCUUUUAGUUGGUGCUAAUCGGAAAAAAAUUAACGCUUUCUUAUUAAGAAAUCUUGGUUAAAUGUUUUCAUGAGUAAUUAGCAGCCAUUUGUUUACAGAUUUGGCAAGCAAUCUUUUUUCACCUCAGUUUUUUUUGCAGCACAACUUGUAGACAGUGCAUGAAUGUUACAAACAGAUGGGGUGUUCUUGGAAAUUUCAGAAUUUUGUCAUGCUCACAGAUCAUCAAACAGUAGGUUUUCUCCCUUCUGAAUUUUCCCUCCUUGCAAACGACGAAUCAUACUACCUUAGGAAGAUGAGCAAUGUAAGCCAAUAAUCCAAACAAUGAGACCCUUGUUCUUGAUUUUGAAGAUGUUGGUGGGUCUGCUCAUAUAAUGAGCUUUGAUUUGUGGGAAUUCAGUCUUAAAUACUGAGUUAGAGGUUGGUUAAAUAUUCUGAACCAAGGUUGAUUUGAUCAAUACAGUUAAUCGAUGACAUGUAAAAAAUUCUCUUCAAUACAAAGCGCAACAUUCAACCACAACUUAUGUGCAAUUACAGUGUAAACAUGAACUAUUAUGUUAAUGGUAUUUACAUAAAGGAUGUCACAUAAAUUCUGAUUCAUUUUAGAUUUUAAAAUUGAAUGAGUUUCACACAUGUCAUAAUCUUAUGGUUAUGCAAGCCCACCGUCACGUGUCACAAUACAUGUCAAAUGGAAAACAAAUAGGCGGAUAUUUAUUAUUUCUACAUGUAUAAUUUGAUAUUAUAUUAUAUUAAAUAUAAUUAAUUUAAAUAUUUACUAACUUUUUUAUUGUAAAUACAUAGUUAUGUUUGUGAGAGCAUUGGUCAUCAUCAUGUUUGGAGAAAUCAUAUGCUCAACACGGUUACGGGAAUAUGAUUUUCAAUUAGAGUUUGGUAAUAAUAAUUAUGAACACAUUGUUAAAUUUAAAUUUCUAUAAAAAAAAUUGUCUAACUUAAUUGUCUUGAACAUGUUAGUUGGGUUCGAGAAAGGUCUAAGCAUUAUACAUAAAAUCCUACCCAUGUUCACGAGUUCUAUCGAGACGAGUUGGAUUCACAUGAGUCUCACCAGGUGAUAUGAACACCGUACAUCGUUGAUUUGAUUGGAAGCGCAUCUCCAUUUUGCAUGAAGGGAAGUGAUUUAUGGCUAGUAAUGGUUCAUAUGCACUGUUUUGUCAUAGUUAAAGUGUAUUGCUAUGAUCAUGAAAUGCAUCAGUUUGGAUUGCAUCAACACAUAUAUGUUGAUGUUGACACAUUUGAUAACAUGUAUGAUGUUAAUAAUCGAGGUAAAGAGGAAGAUGGUUGGUUGGUGGUUCAUGCACAAUAUGUCAAUUUGUGGCAUGCGUGGAGAGAUCACGUAUUUACAGCAUUGUAUCCGCCUAUUGAUUUAGAUCUCUACAUGAACAUAACAAAGCGAUUCAUAACACUACCAUGUGUUACGAGAUGUCCACGUGACACUUUGUGUCAGCCGACAUGUAAUCCAUAUAAUUAUGAGCCUCAUGCACCAAGAUAUAAUAUAUUGUUAUGUAUGGAAUAAUUUUUUUAACAUGUAAUAAAAUUCUUAUUUAUAUAUUAAAAAAGAUAAUAUAA